This 433-nucleotide ribosomal RNA is filed under the name uncultured bacterium. Its description in RNAcentral is "bacterial SSU rRNA". It matches the Rfam family "Bacterial small subunit ribosomal RNA", at positions 64 to 507 of the family's 1533-position model. The record is from RNAcentral.
AAGGGGGUAGCAAUACAACCGGCGCACGGGUGAGUAACGCGUACACAACAUACCAUAUACGUGGAGUAUAGCUUUAGGGAAACUGAAGGUAAUCCUCCAUAACAUUGCGAGAGGGCAUCUGAUUGCAAUUAAAGUUUCGGCGGUAUAUGAUUGGUGUGCGUUUGAUUAGCUAGUUGGUAGGGUAACGGCCUACCAAGGCGACGAUCAAUAGCUGGCGUGAGAGCGCGACCAGCCACACUGGAACUGAGACACGGUCCAGACUCCUACGGGAGGCAGCAGUAGGGAAUAUUGGACAAUGGAGGAAACUCUGAUCCAGCCAUGCCGCGUGAUAGAUGAAGGCCCUCUGGGUUGUAAAUAUCUUUAUCUGGGAAGAAACACUCCUAUUCUUAGGAACUUGACGGUACCAGAGGAAUAAGCACCGGCUAACUCCGUG